UACGUAGGGGGCAAGCGUUGUCCGGAAUCAUUGGGCGUAAAGCGCGUGUAGGCGGUCCGAUCAGUCGGCUGUGAAAGUCCAGGGCUCAACCCUGGGAUGCCGGUCGAUACUGUCGGGCUAGAGUCCGGAAGAGGCGAGUGGAAUUCCGGGUGUAGUGGUGGAAUGCGUAGAGCUCCGGAGGAACACCAGUGGCGAAGGCGGCCGCCUGGGCCAGUCCUGACGCUGAGCCGCGAAAGCGUGGGGAGCGAUCCGG
Molecule: ribosomal RNA, 253 nt
Filed under: uncultured bacterium
Lineage: Bacteria
Description: partial 16S ribosomal RNA
Rfam family: Bacterial small subunit ribosomal RNA
Source: RNAcentral